UACGUAGGUGGCAAGCGAUACUCGGAAUCACUAGGCGUAAAGCGCAGGUAGGCGGCUUGAUAAGUCUUUUGUGAAAGCUCCUGGCUUAACUGGGAGAGGUCAAAGGAAACUGUCAGGCUAGAGUUUGGUAGGGGAUACUGGAAUUCCUGGUGUAGCGGUGAAAUGCGUAGAUAUCAGGAGGAAUACCUAUGGCGAAAGCAGGUAUCUGGGCCACAACUGACGCUGAGGAGCGAAAGCGUGGGGAGCGAACAGG
RNAcentral lists this ribosomal RNA (253 nucleotides) under uncultured bacterium. RNAcentral describes it as "partial 16S ribosomal RNA". It matches the Rfam family "Bacterial small subunit ribosomal RNA", at positions 524 to 776 of the family's 1533-position model. The record is from RNAcentral.